This 465-nucleotide ribosomal RNA is filed under the name Vreelandella stevensii. Its description in RNAcentral is "partial 16S ribosomal RNA". It matches the Rfam family "Bacterial small subunit ribosomal RNA", at positions 338 to 795 of the family's 1533-position model. The record is from RNAcentral. Lineage: Bacteria; Pseudomonadati; Pseudomonadota; Gammaproteobacteria; Oceanospirillales; Halomonadaceae.
CCUACGGGAGGCAGCAGUGGGGAAUAUUGGACAAUGGGGGGAACCCUGAUCCAGCCAUGCCGCGUGUGUGAAGAAGGCCCUCGGGUUGUAAAGCACUUUCAGUGAGGAAGAACGCCUGGUGGUUAAUACCCAUCAGGAAAGACAUCACUCACAGAAGAAGCACCGGCUAACUCCGUGCCAGCAGCCGCGGUAAUACGGAGGGUGCGAGCGUUAAUCGGAAUUACUGGGCGUAAAGCGCGCGUAGGUGGCUUGAUAAGCCGGUUGUGAAAGCCCCGGGCUCAACCUGGGAACGGCAUCCGGAACUGUCAAGCUAGAGUGCAGGAGAGGAAGGUAGAAUUCCCGGUGUAGCGGUGAAAUGCGUAGAGAUCGGGAGGAAUACCCGUGGCGAAGGCGGCCUUCUGGACUGACACUGACACUGAGGUGCGAAAGCGUGGGUAGCAAUCAGGAUUAGAUACCCUAGUAGUA